UAAAUUUAUUUUUUUUUUAAUUUUCUUUUUUUGGGCAGAGUACAACAACAACAAACUUUACCUCUACCAUGGGAAAGAGAGGCUGUUUCCAAAUAGAAACCCGAUAUCCUUCUCUCCAAGAACUUACCACCUUAUUCUUGCGAAGACUCGAACUCACAAUCUCUGGUUGGAAGUGGGAGUUGUUUACCAUCAGAGCAACCCCUCUUGUCAUUGAGUUCUACUCCUUUCAUGUAGUAAUCAAUUGGGAGCAGAGAAC
Molecule: long non-coding RNA, 256 nt
Filed under: Nicotiana benthamiana
Lineage: Eukaryota; Viridiplantae; Streptophyta; Magnoliopsida; Solanales; Solanaceae
Description: long non-coding RNA (NBEN_LNC007465)
Source: RNAcentral